GUAACUGGUAUUAUAAAUAUAAACCACUAGCGGGCUAGGCUAGGCCUCCUCCAUGUACAUUUAUUGUAAAAUGAGGCCUAAUAGAGUUGGGGUACAAAAUAAGCACCAAAGUGAGAUGACAAACCCUAAAGAUCUUCCCUCUUCAUUCUUUGUAACUUUUUUCUCUCUAUUACUUUUGCAGUCUCCAUGUCUUAUGUUCUACAUCACACAGUUUUAACCCUUUAUCUGUACCUUUUUCUGGCGGAUCUGAGACUAGGAAAAGGGAAAAGGCCCUGAGGUUCGAAGAAGUCCGAUACUGCAGAAAAAGACUAAGGCCAGGGGUGUCACCACCGCAAAACCGACGGGAAGCGGUUGCUGGUUGUGCAAGGAGUGUAAUCAUCUGAUCAUCAUCCAUCGGCUCCUGACAGAACAUCGCGCUGAACAUCCCACCACUACGAAACUCUACCAAAAAUGUUAAGCCAAAGAUGUUUAGGAAGGCGACGCAGAUCUAUAAACCGCCAAAAAAGAUGACAAGAUGAUGUGUGUAGCUGCGGUGAUUGCAAGGUCAAGUGAGGAAGGUCUUCUUCAGAUUUCAUAAUGUAAAUAAAUACAUUUAGGGUAUAUUUUUAAUUUUCAUCUAGUUGAGGUCCAAUCUAACUUGUUGAUAUGUGAGAAACUCAACGGUUAUAUUUUGUUGGUUUUGCCCUGUGCCGUAGGCUGUUAGUGGGUGUCAUGAUCCUUUUGUAAAAGGAUGCACUUUUGGUUUCUUUUGUUUGCUCUGUUAGUUGUUGUUGACUUAGAUUGUUCCUCAGUUAGGGGUGAAGAAA
Mercurialis annua (annual mercury) is the source of this 806-nucleotide long non-coding RNA. RefSeq lists it as uncharacterized. The transcript has 4 exons. The record is from RefSeq and is a predicted model, not a curated record. Lineage: Eukaryota; Viridiplantae; Streptophyta; Magnoliopsida; Malpighiales; Euphorbiaceae.